UACGUAGGUGGCGAGCGUUGUCCGGAUUUACUGGGCGUAAAGGGAGCGUAGGCGGACUUUUAAGUGAGAUGUGAAAUACCCGGGCUCAACUUGGGUGCUGCAUUUCAAACUGGAAGUCUAGAGUGCAGAAGAGGUAGGCGGAAUUCGUUGUGUAGCGGUGAAAUGCGUAGAUAUAACGAAGAACACCAAUUGCGUAGGCAGCUUACCAUACUGCAACUGACGCUGAGGCACGAAAGUGUGGGUAUCAAACAGGAUUAGAUACCCU
RNAcentral lists this ribosomal RNA (265 nucleotides) under uncultured prokaryote. RNAcentral's name for it is "partial 16S ribosomal RNA". It matches the Rfam family "Bacterial small subunit ribosomal RNA", at positions 524 to 788 of the family's 1533-position model. The record is from RNAcentral.